GCAAAUCUGGAUUUUGACCAACCACUUAUUAAAGACGCUUUGGAAGGGAGUUCAACAUCACUAUACAUGGCCAAUCAACAACAAACCAACGCAGAAAGGCAAGACGAGGAUGCAAGUGGAGAACAAAUGAAUGCUGUGCAACUGGAGAUGCUCAAAGCAUUGAAGGAAGCACGGGAAGGACAAGGUAUGAUGAUGGCCAUGAUGCUGGAGAUGCAAAGGAAGCAAGAAGAGAUGUGGAAUUUCUGCCAGCAAUUGAUGCAGAUCCCUACCUUCAAGGCCAUGUUCCUAGGCAAUUCGCAUGGAGAACAAGUAGGAGUGGAGGACAACAACAAUGGC
RNAcentral lists this long non-coding RNA (336 nucleotides) under Panax ginseng (ginseng). Its description in RNAcentral is "long non-coding RNA (PGIN_LNC017142)". The record is from RNAcentral. Lineage: Eukaryota; Viridiplantae; Streptophyta; Magnoliopsida; Apiales; Araliaceae.